Molecule: long non-coding RNA, 1876 nt
Organism: Alligator sinensis (Chinese alligator)
Lineage: Eukaryota; Metazoa; Chordata; Crocodylia; Alligatoridae
Exons: 3
Source: RefSeq, a predicted model, not a curated record
CUGUCCUUCCUCGACGCGCCCGCGCUGCCCGGCUCCGACGGGGGGCUCUUCCACUUCGCCCUGUGCCCGCCUCCCAGCCUGCUGCGCCAGGGCGCCGCGCUGCACUUCGCCGUGCGUUACCACAGCCCGCUGGGCGAGUUCUGGGACAACAACGGCGGCGCCAACUACACCCUGCACUGCCGCAGCACCCGCCUGGGCCAGGACGACCAGGAGCUGGAGGAGGAUGAGGAUGAGGAGGGGGCCCCGGGCGGGAGCCCCCCGGAGUCUGGUGGUCCCCUCUACUGAGCCGGUGUGGCCUGGUGGGCAACCCUGCCUCGGGCUGGCCGGCGCCGGCGGCACAUGGCCAACAGCUGGUGGACGGUGGGACCUGCUGGUCUGCACAUCAAUGCGCCCAAGCCUGACUUGAGGCAGCGAAUGCAGGGGAACGCAGCCGACGGGCCGGCGGUGUAGGGUGCAUCCGAGCCUGGCCUGGGCACAGGGCGGUGCCUCCGAGCCUGGUCUGAGCCAGCAACAGUGGCAUCCAGCUAACAAGUUCGCUGGUCCAGGCUGCGUCCAAGCCCAGCCUGGGUCAGCACUAGCAGAAUCCAGUCAGGGGCACUGCUGGUCUAGGGUGCGCCCAAGCCCUGCCCGGUGGCGGCAGCCCUGGCUGUUCAGGGGAACAGGCGUUGAGCCUUCAGUGGUGCCCUUCAUGCCAAGGCCCACCUGGCUGGGUCCAGGGCUGCAGGCCUGGCUGUCAACAUGUCAAGCAGGUGGUGUCCCGUUGCUGCCAGUACUGCUCUCCAUCCCCUUCUGAGAAAGACCUUGCUGCUUGGGCCCAGCCCUUUCUGAGCUUGGGAAGUAAAGACAAGAUCAGUUGGGCCAGGUGGGUGCUCGUCCUUGGCCUUAGGCACAGAGAAGGGUAUGUGGGAUUUGCCCGCUCCAGUAUUGUUGCCUCUUUUUUUGUCAAGUGAGCUCCCAGCACUGUGAGAGAUUUUUCUCUUUCAAGUUGAGAACUGGAAAUAUCCUGUUCAAGAUGGCUUUUUCUUUUCUUUUUUUAAAAUGUAUUUUUCUCUACCUUGAAGAUAGUGCCUUGGAUGAAGUUUCCUACGUCCAAAACUGAGACAGAACUUUGCAGUCAGUGUUACAACUGUUCUGUAUGCAUCAAAGCAUUUUUCUUUUUACGGAUAGAGCACGGUCUCGUUUAUGGGUAUUUAGGUAUUGCUGAACACAGGGACAGCUUGUUGGCAAAGCCUGCAGCUUAUUGCUAGGUCUUGCAGAAAUUUGAUUUUUUUUGAAAGACAAGAACUGGGUGAGGGGUGUAAAUGUGCAUGUGUAUUUUGCACAGAGUUCCUCUGGUCUUGAUUGUGCAAACUCUUUGUGCAUAAUCUUAUCUUUGCUCACCUCAGCAUUCAGUAAGACUCCUUGAACACUUGGGCUUGUGCAGUAAGGUCUUUACAGUUCGACCAAAAAACUUUCAAAUGAGGGGCCUACAUAAGCAGCCUGGAUUUGGGGAGUGCAUGCUACCUGCUGCUCCUGAUUUAUGUUGCCCUGUUUCAAGGUUUUACCAGGUCUGUUACAGAAAGGUAAAGGACAUAAAGCUACAGAGACACAAACAGGAGACAUCCAGAUUUGGAAGCAACAACUGGCUGGAAAUGGUUUGGGGACAAGGCAGGAAAGCAACAGCAAGGUUACUUAAGAAAAUGCAUAAGGGGGACUGUCCUUUUAAUUCUACUGCAUUUAAAAGUAUGCAAGGACUCUGGGACUUUUCAUGCUACUCUUGUAAACCUCGUUGCCUCUGCUGCACUCUUCAGCUCUUUAGAAACUACUUAAAAUGAACUAUUUGAAGUGGGAAAAGUAUCUGUGCAGUUCUGGUAAUGAAGUUUGUUUCCCCAUUGAU